RNAcentral lists this unclassified non-coding RNA (346 nucleotides) under soil metagenome. Its description in RNAcentral is "partial contains 5.8S ribosomal RNA, internal transcribed spacer 2, and large subunit ribosomal RNA". The stretch from base 1 to 120 matches the Rfam family "5.8S ribosomal RNA", at positions 35 to 154 of the family's 154-position model. The record is from RNAcentral.
GAUGAAGAACGUAGCGAAAUGCGAUAAGUAAUGUGAAUUGCAGAAUUCAGUGAAUCAUCGAAUCUUUGAACGCACAUUGCGCCCGCUGGUAUUCCGGCGGGCAUGCCUGUUCGAGCGUCAUUUCAACCCUCAAGCCCCCGGGUUUGGUGUUGGGGAUCGGCUCUGCCUUCUGGCGGUGCCGCCCCCGAAAUACAUUGGCGGUCUCGCUGCAGCCUCCAUUGCGUAGUAGCUAACACCUCGCAACUGGAACGCGGCGCGGCCAUGCCGUAAAACCCCAACUUCUGAAUGUUGACCUCGGAUCAGGUAGGAAUACCCGCUGAACUUAAGCAUAUCAAUAAGCGGAGGA